UGGGGAAUAUUGCACAAUGGGGGAAACCCUGAUGCAGCCAUGCCGCGUGAAUGAUGAAGGUCUUAGGAUUGUAAAAUUCUUUCACCGGGGACGAUAAUGACGGUACCCGGAGAAGAAGCUCCGGCUAACUUCGUGCCAGCAGCCGCGGUAAUACGAAGGGGGCUAGCGUUGCUCGGAAUUACUGGGCGUAAAGGGCGCGUAGGCGGAUAUUUAAGUCGGGGGUGAAAGCCCGGGGCUCAACCUCGGAAUAGCCUUCGAUACUGGAUAUCUUGAGUACGGGAGAGGUGUGUGGAACUCCGAGUGUAGAGGUGAAAUUCGUAGAUAUUCGGAAGAACACCAGUGGCGAAGGCGACACACUGGCCCGUUACUGACGCUGAGGCGCGAAAGCGUGGGGAGCAAA
Molecule: ribosomal RNA, 400 nt
Filed under: uncultured bacterium
Lineage: Bacteria
Description: bacterial SSU rRNA
Rfam family: Bacterial small subunit ribosomal RNA
Source: RNAcentral